This is an RNA transcript of Silurus meridionalis, 2013 nucleotides long. It is a transcript of the gene named TATA box binding protein like 2, with no coding region annotated. The record is from RefSeq and is a predicted model, not a curated record. The transcript is spliced from 8 exons. Lineage: Eukaryota; Metazoa; Chordata; Actinopteri; Siluriformes; Siluridae.
UCGUGAGGAACCAAACGUUUUUUUUUUUUUAUUUACUCCAGAUGAUUCACUAAACGUUUGGUUGUCGCGUUAAAUGUAUUAAUCACAAUUAAGUUUAGACCCAAUUAGUGAAUCUGCGCAAGUGCUGUUCAUUAAUUAACUUAAAAACAAUUCAGCUUUGUUUUAGAUAGUUUACAAUUUGCAAAACGCGACUACCUGCUUCACUUUUUUUGGGUUCAUUCACAAUCCCUAAUGGAUCUGGAGAGAAAUGGAUGAAGAUGCAUCGCUUGAGACCUACUUUGACCAGUCAAUUGCUGGUUCUUCUGAGUACAUGUUUGGAGGGGAUUUGGAAGGCCCGCCACAGCUUCAGGAUCCCUCUUUCCUCUCCUCUUCCAUCUCCAACCAACAGAAAGAUGAGGAUGAUGAUCUGGACCUGAGCUUUCUACCUGAUGAGCUAAACGUUCAGGAUGAAGGAGAGAACACAGGAGUGGGUCUUACAGAGGACAGUGGUGUUUAUCUGGACUGUUCAACUGCAAGACCUGAAGCAGACACUGAAGUUAAUACGAGGCAGCCUGCAGCCUCCCCCUUCUGCAACCUCCCCAUGACACCCAUGACACCCAUGACCCCAGUGGCUCCUGUGGCAGAAAGUUCAGGAAUCAUCCCACAAUUACAGAAUAUAGUGUCCACAGUAAACCUGGCAUGUCCUCUAGACCUGAAAGCAAUUGCCCUUCAAGCUCGAAAUGCUGAGUACAAUCCAAAGCGCUUUGCUGCUGUAAUUAUGCGGAUCCGUGAACCCAGGACCACUGCCCUUAUCUUCAGCUCAGGAAAAAUGGUCUGCACUGGCGCAAAGAGUGAGGAGCAGUCUCGCCUUGCUGCAAGGAAGUAUGCCCGGGUGGUACAGAAGCUUGGCUUCCCAGCCAAAUUUCUUGACUUCAAGAUCCAGAACAUGGUCGGCAGUUGUGAUGUGUGUUUCCCCAUACGGUUGGAAGGCCUGGUUCUGACUCACCAACAGUUCAGCAGCUAUGAACCUGAAUUGUUUCCUGGUUUGAUCUACCGAAUGGUGAAGCCACGGAUUGUCCUCCUGAUAUUUGUGUCUGGAAAGGUUGUUCUUACAGGUGCAAAAGAUCGCUCUGAAAUAUAUGAAGCUUUUGAGAAUAUCUACCCAAUUCUGAAAGGAUUCAGGAAACAGUGAAAAACGAGCACUUCUACGUUUUAUUGAGUUCUGAUAUGUCAAUAUAUAAGCGAGAUCCAUGUUGACGUUUGCCAAGGUUGGAGUGGGAAAACCUGAGUGUCCUGCACACAGCCCUGACCCUGAGCCCGGAGGCACUUGAGCACUGACUACCCUCAGGGUGAACUGGAAUGCUGUAUGCACCCUAGUGCCUGAUGUCCCUGAUUCCUUCAGAAACACUACCUUUCAGAAGAGUUGUGUUAAUUAUAACAGCAAAAUAAAAGCCACUCCAAAUCUUGAAUGGGAUUCUCAAAAAGCAUUUACAUGGGGUCAAUGUACAGGUUUUUACCAUAGUGAAAUUUAACCAUAUCAUUGAGUUUGACUUUGGCAUAACUGCACACUUGUUUUUCAUUGAAAAUAUAAGAAAGGGAAGACCAAUUAAUUUCUUUGCUAUCCACUAAAAUAAAUUAAGGUUUGCGAGUAAAAAGUAAAUAUGAGGCAAUCAAUCAUUUAUAUAUAGAUGUGUUAAACAACUUAGAACAUGGCACCUCACAUGGGGAUACCCAGGGCUCAAAGAAAGAGUAGCCAGUCAGUGCUUUUAAUUGGAUAAUCAAGGUAACAGGGAACAUCUAAGUAAAGAAAUAAAUAAUAAAAAAUGCCAGUCACAUGCUCCAAUAAUUGUAAUAAUUUAGAAAUAGGGUUUAAAUGCUCUAAAACGUAAAUGUGAUGUAAAGAAAGCUAAAAUUCAUCUUUCGAACUUUGAAACAAUUUUUUGUUGUUCCAAUUUGCCUGCUCUCUAGUCCAUAUUCUCUGUUGUGUUUCAUAUUGUGACUUUAUUGUUUACAUUCUCUAUUUUGUCAGCCAGG